RNAcentral lists this long non-coding RNA (256 nucleotides) under Eucalyptus grandis. Its description in RNAcentral is "long non-coding RNA (EGRA_LNC007942)". Lineage: Eukaryota; Viridiplantae; Streptophyta; Magnoliopsida; Myrtales; Myrtaceae. The record is from RNAcentral.
AGGGACUAUUUCAUAUUGGGAUAGCAAUAAUACAUUAAGGAACAAUUCCACUAAAACAGAAUAUUAAACAAAUAACAAUAAAAAAAUGAAAGAGAAACUACCUAAUCUGAUUUUUCUUUUUCUCUUUUUCUUUUUUUUUCUUUCCACACACAGCCGUGAAUCUCCAAGGGGAGAGAGUCGUCGGGCCGGCAAGAGGAACUCCGGCGAGGGUGAAUCGGCGGUGGGCAAGCGCGCAGAGGUGAAUUGGCGGCGGCAA